GUGUUGAGAUUGUUAAAAUAGAGCACUUCGUCUCCAAUUUCUUAAAAUAACACUUAUCAUCACUCAAAUCCAGUAAAAAAAUGACCGUUUGUGUAACCACAGUUUUAUUACAAAUACCAUGGUUGAACUGUGGUAAAUGUAGCAAAACUAAGGCGAAUUUGUUGUGAUAAAUGCUUAGCCACAAUAGCCAUGUGCUUUUUUUCUUUCUUUUAGUUUAAUCUGUUGUAAAACUAUGGUAAAUGUUCAUAAGGUAUGAUCUAAAAAGUGUGUAAACUACACGCAUUAUCUCUUAAUAGAUGAGGUGGAGGAGGACGAGGGAACAACAAAGAGGAAAAAGAGUAAAGUGGCCAAUUUCCUCAAAGCUGCCAGAAAACUCUUCAGGAUGUCCUGCUUUGGCCAGACUGAGGAGCAGCUCUCUGACCCUGCAGACUCUGAUGAUGACAUUCUCUGCCCAUCCGAGUCUGACCAGAGUCUGGAGGUUGCUCUUGUCAUCACUCAUAAUCAUGAAGAGAGUUGUGUGAAUGACGACCUAAAGGUGGAUGAGAAAGAUGACAUGAAGACACACAACACAGAGCAUGUCAACAAAGAGGAGGAGGUGGAGGAGAUGAGGAUGAACGAUGAGAAGGACAAGGAGGAAAAGAUUAAGAAGAGGAGGAGGAGAAAGAGAAAUAGCAAGAUGAAGGAGGAGGAGGAAAAGAAAGAGGAGGAGGUGGUGAAAGAAGAGAUGAAGAUAAAAGAGGAGAGUUUGAAAGAAAAUGAAGAGGAGGAGGAGGAUAAGAAUGAAAAAGAGAUAAAAGUAAAGGAGGAGAAGAUGAAAGAUGAUGAGGAGGAGAACAAUGAGGAAGAGAUGAAGAUAAAAGAAAAUGAGGACGAGGAGAAGGAAAACAUGAAAAAGAGAAUGAGGAGGAGAAAAAGAAAUAACAGGAUAAAAGAGGAGAAGAAGGAGGAGAAGUUGAUAGAGAAGGAGAUGGAGGUAAAGGAGGAGAGGAUGGAAGAAAAUGAAGAGAAAGAGAUGGAUAAGAAUGAAGAGGAGAUGAAGGAGGAAGAAACAGAGGAGGAGGAGGAAGAAAAGCCAAAGGAGGAGAAGAGAAAAAGAAGCAAGAAAAUAGACAGCAGGAAAAGCAGAAGGAUGAUGAGGAGAAGAAGCAAAAGGAGAAGACUGGGGAGAGUGUGAAUGAGAAAGAGAUGCAAAUAAAAAUGUUGAAAAAAAAGUUUCUGGCCUAAAAUAUUAUUGUG
Danio rerio (zebrafish) is the source of this 1236-nucleotide non-coding RNA. NCBI's taxonomy places the organism in Eukaryota, Metazoa, Chordata, Actinopteri, Cypriniformes, Danionidae. The record is from RefSeq and is a predicted model, not a curated record.